Molecule: ribosomal RNA, 362 nt
Filed under: Styela clava
Lineage: Eukaryota; Metazoa; Chordata; Ascidiacea; Stolidobranchia; Styelidae
Description: SSU rRNA
Rfam family: Eukaryotic small subunit ribosomal RNA
Source: RNAcentral
AUGCAGGUGCAAGUACGAGUUCUCGUAAAGCGAAACUGCGAAUGGCUCAUUAAAUCAGUCUUGGUUUAUUUGGUCUCGUAAGCGAAGUGGAUAACUGUGGUAAUUCUAGAGCUAAUACAUGCAUUAAGCGCCGACUUCGGGAGGCGCGCUUUUAUCAGAUCAAAACCGACCGGGUUCGUCCUGUGACGUUUGAUGACUCUGGAUAACCACGCGGAUCGUACGGUCUCUGCACCGACGACGUAUCAUUCAAGUGUCUGCCCUAUCAACUGUCGAAGGUACGCUACGUGCCUACCUUUGUGAUAACGGGUAACGGGGAAUCAGGGUUCGAUUCCGGAGAGGGAGCCUGAGAAACGGCUACCACA